This 346-nucleotide ribosomal RNA is filed under the name uncultured eukaryote. RNAcentral describes it as "SSU rRNA". It matches the Rfam family "Eukaryotic small subunit ribosomal RNA", at positions 594 to 945 of the family's 1831-position model. The record is from RNAcentral.
AUAGCGUAUAUUAAAGUUGUUGCAGUUAAAAAGCUCGUAGUUGAACUUCAGACCUGACCGGGCGGUCCGCCUAACGGUGUGUACUGUCUGGCCGGGCCUUACCUCUUGGUGAGCCGGCAUGCCCUUCACUGGGUGUGUCGGGGAACCAGGACCUUUACCUUGAGAAAAUUAGAGUGUUCAAAGCAGGCUUACGCCGGAAUACAUUAGCAUGGAAUAAUAAAAUAGGACGUGCGGUUCUAUUUUGUUGGUUUCUAGAGUCGCCGUAAUGAUUAAUAGGGAUAGUUGGGGGCAUUGGUAUUGAGUCGCUAGAGGUGAAAUUCUUGGAUUGACUCAAGACCGACUAUUG